GAAUCCCGUCUUUGACACGGACUGCCUGUACAUUAUGGUGUGCUCUCGAAGAGUCGAGUUGUUUGGGAAUGCAGCUCAAAAUGGGUGGUAAGUGCCAUCUAAAGCUAAAUAUUGGCGAGAGACCGAUAGCGAACAAGUACCGUGAGGGAAAGAUGAAAAGAACUUUGGAAAGAGAGUUAAACAGUACGUGAAAUUGCUGAAAGGGAAACGCUUGAAGUCAGUCGCGUUGGCUAGAAAUCAACCUUGCUUUUGCUUUGUGUACUUUCUGGUUGACGGGUCAGCAUCAAUUUUGACCACUGGAUAAAGUCUUUGGGAAUGUGGCAUCUUUGGAUGUGUUAUAGCCCAUUGUCGCAUACGGUGGUUGGGAUUGAGGAACUCAGCACGCCGCAAGGCCGGGUUUCGACCACGUUCGUGCUUAGGAUGCUGGCAUAAUGGCUUUAAACGACCCGUCUUGAAACACGGACCAAGGAGUCCAACACGCCCGCGAGUGUUCGGGUGGAAAACCCGUGCGCGUAAUGAAAGUGAAAGUUGGGACCUCUGUCGUGGAGGGCACCGACGCCCGGACCAGACCUUCUGUGACGGAUCUGCGGUAGAGCGUGCGUGUUGGGACCCGAAAGAUGGUGAACUAUGCCUGAAUAGGGUGAAGCCAGAGGAAACUCUGGUGGAGGCUCGUAGCGAUUCUGACGUGCAAAUCGAUCGUCAAAUUUGGGUAUAGGGGCGAAAGACUAAUCGAACCGUCUAGUAGCUGGUUCCUGCC
Molecule: ribosomal RNA, 757 nt
Filed under: uncultured Inocybe
Lineage: Eukaryota; Fungi; Basidiomycota; Agaricomycetes; Agaricales; Cortinariaceae
Description: eukaryotic LSU rRNA
Rfam family: Eukaryotic large subunit ribosomal RNA
Source: RNAcentral